UACGUAGGGUGCAAGCGUUGUCCGGAAUUAUUGGGCGUAAAGAGCUCGUAGGCGGUCUGUCGCGUCUGCUGUGAAAACUCAGGGCUUAACCCUGAGCUUGCAGUGGGUACGGGCAGACUAGAGUGCGGUAGGGGAGACUGGAAUUCCGUGGUGAUGAGCGGUGAAAUGCGCAGAUAGUCAGGAGGAACACCGGUGGCGAAGGCGGGUCUCUGGGCCGUAACUGACGCUGGAGGAGCGAAAGCAUCGGGAGCGAACAGGAUUAGACUUACCCUU
RNAcentral lists this ribosomal RNA (273 nucleotides) under uncultured bacterium. Its description in RNAcentral is "partial 16S ribosomal RNA". It matches the Rfam family "Bacterial small subunit ribosomal RNA", at positions 524 to 789 of the family's 1533-position model. The record is from RNAcentral.